CCGUGUAUGUGAUUUUAUUCAUCCAUGAUCUUUUACAAGGACAUGUAGGGAUAGGACAAAGGGUAAUGGCUUUAAACUGAACGAGGCUAAUUUGGAUUAGGCAUUAGGAAGAAAUUCUUCACUAUGAGGGUGGUGAGGCAUUGGAACAGGUCACCCAGAGAAGCUGUGGCUGCCCGACCUCUGGCAGUGUUCAAGGCCACAUUAGGCUGGGCUUUGAGCAACCCCAUCUAGUAGAAGGUGUCCGUGACUGUGGCAAAGGGUUGAAACUAGAUGAGCUUUAAUAUCCCUUCCAACCCAAACUGUUUUAUGAUUCUAUGAAUACUUUGAGUUGGAAGGGACCCGUAAGGAUCAUGCAACGCUACACACAUGGGCAAGAGCAGCUGGAAAGCUGCUCCGCAUAAAGGGACCUGGGGGUGCUGACUGAUGGAGCUAAACAUGAGCCAGCUUGUGCCCAUGCAGCCAAGGCAGCCAAUGACAUCCUGGCCUGUGUCAGAAACGGUGCGGCGAGCAGGGCCAGGGCAGUGAUCAUCCCCCUAUACUCGGCACUGGUGAGGCUGCAUCUCGAAUCCUGUGUUCAGUUCUGGGCCCCUCACUGCAAGAGAGACAUAGAGUUGCUGAAGCGGGUCCAGAGAAGGGCAACAAAGCUGGUGAAGGGUCUGGAGAAUAAGUCCUGUGAGGAAUGGCUGAGGGAACUGGGGUGGUUUAGUCUGGAGAGGAGGCUCAGGGGGGAACUUAUCCCUCUAAACUACCUGAAAGGAGGAUGAGCGAGGAGGGGGCUGGUCUCUUUUCCCAAGCAACAAGCAAUAGGACAAGAGGUAACGGCCUCAAGCUGCACCAGGGGAGGUUUAGAUUGGAUAUUAGGAAAAAUUUCUUCACCUUAGAGGGCGAUCGAGCAUCGAACAGGCUGCUCAGGGAAGUGAUGCAAUCACCAUUCCUGGAAGUGUUCAAAAACCAUGCAGGUUAGGCCCUUAGUGAUAUCAUUUAGUGAUGGACUUGGCAGUCCUGCGGUAAUGGCUGGACUUAAUGAUCUUAAAAGGUCUCUUCCAACUUAGCUGAUUCUAUGAUUCUACCAAGACCAACUCCCUGCUCCUCGCAGGACUACCUAAAACUAAACCGUAUGACAAAGCAUCACCCAGAUGCUCCCUGAACUCUGACAGGCUUGGUGCUCCACUUCCCGGGGAGUCUGUUAUAGUGACUGGCUCAAUUCUGCCAAAAAUCAGCUGAAGUCUUUAUGUUUUACCACUCUUACACUCAGUCUAAAUUAAAAAAAAAAAAGAAAAACCAAA
RNAcentral lists this long non-coding RNA (1286 nucleotides) under Strigops habroptila (Kakapo). RNAcentral describes it as "lncRNA (ENSSHBG00005020045.1)". The record is from RNAcentral. Lineage: Eukaryota; Metazoa; Chordata; Aves; Psittaciformes; Psittacidae.